UACGUAGGGUGCGAGCGCUACUCGGAAUUACUGGGCGUAAAGCGUGCGCAGGCGGUUUUGUAAGCCAGAUGUGAAAUCCCCGGGCUUAACCUGGGAAUGGCAUUUGGGACCGCAAGGCUUGAGUGCGGCAGAGGAGACUGGAAUUCCUGGUGUAGCAGUGAAAUGCGUAGAUAUCUGGAGGAACACCGGUGGCGAAGGCGGCAUCCUGGACCGACACUGACGCUGAGGCGCGAAAGCCAGGGGAGCAAACGGG
Molecule: ribosomal RNA, 253 nt
Filed under: uncultured bacterium
Lineage: Bacteria
Description: partial 16S ribosomal RNA
Rfam family: Bacterial small subunit ribosomal RNA
Source: RNAcentral